GAUGAACGCUAGCUACAGGCUUAACACAUGCAAGUCGAGGGGAAACGAUAGAGAAAGCUUGCUUUUUCUAGGCGUCGACCGGCGCACGGGUGAGUAACGCGUAUCCAACCUGCCCACCACUUGGGAAUAACCUUGCGAAAGUAAGACUAAUACCAAAUGAUAUCUCUAGAAGACAUCUGAAGGAGAUUAAAGAUUUAUCGGUGAUGGAUGGGGAGGCGUCUGAUUAGCUUGUUGGCGGGGUAACGGCCCACCAAGGCGACGAUCAGUAGGGGGUCGGGGAGGAAGGUCCCCCACAUUGGAAAUGAGACACGGUCCAAACUCCUACGGGAGGCAGCAGUGAGGAAUAUUGGUCAAUGGGCGAGAGCCUGAACCAGCCAAGUAGCGUGCAGGAUGACGGCCCUAUGGGUUGUAAACUGCUUUUAUAAGGGAAUAAAGUGAGCCUCGUGAGGCUUUUUGCAUGUACCUUAUGAAUAAGGACCGGCUAAUUCCGUGCCAGCCGCCGCCGUAA
RNAcentral lists this ribosomal RNA (508 nucleotides) under uncultured bacterium. RNAcentral describes it as "partial 16S ribosomal RNA". It matches the Rfam family "Bacterial small subunit ribosomal RNA", at positions 28 to 523 of the family's 1533-position model. The record is from RNAcentral.